AUGAAGGUGAGAGAUGAAGAAUUGAGAGAGAGGAUGAAGGUUUUGGUUAGAGCUUGCGGGGCUGCUAAUGUACGUAUGCUGAUCGAGUUUCGUAGCUCCAUUUUAUGCAUAUUUCUCAAGCUAGAAAUGAAUGAUACAAGUCGUAAAAACUUUGGAAAUUACUACGAAGCCCUCAAUGCAGCAGGGCAUUUCUUGGACAGAACAAAGUGUAUUGCUGAAUCUUUUUUGGAUCUGGUUUCUGCAGGUCUGGUUUUGAGAUUCAGAAAUUCCAACCAUAUGCUGCAACUUUGA
Molecule: long non-coding RNA, 291 nt
Filed under: Vicia faba (fava bean)
Lineage: Eukaryota; Viridiplantae; Streptophyta; Magnoliopsida; Fabales; Fabaceae
Source: RNAcentral